RNAcentral lists this ribosomal RNA (477 nucleotides) under uncultured bacterium. RNAcentral describes it as "partial 16S ribosomal RNA". It matches the Rfam family "Bacterial small subunit ribosomal RNA", at positions 355 to 824 of the family's 1533-position model. The record is from RNAcentral.
UAGGGAAUCUUCGGCAAUGGGGGCAACCCUGACCGAGCAACGCCGCGUGAGUGAAGAAGGUUUUCGGAUCGUAAAGCUCUGUUGUAAGUCAAGAACGGGUGUGAGAGUGGAAAGUUCACACUGUGACGGUAGCUUACCAGAAAGGGACGGCUAACUACGUGCCAGCAGCCGCGGUAAUACGUAGGUCCCGAGCGUUGUCCGGAUUUAUUGGGCGUAAAGCGAGCGCAGGCGGUUUGAUAAGUCUGAAGUUAAAGGCUGUGGCUCAACCAUAGUUCGCUUUGGAAACUGUCAAACUUGAGUGCAGAAGGGGAGAGUGGAAUUCCAUGUGUAGCGGUGAAAUGCGUAGAUAUAUGGAGGAACACCGGUGGCGAAAGCGGCUCUCUGGUCUGUAACUGACGCUGAGGCUCGAAAGCGUGGGGAGCGAACAGGAUUAGAUACCCUGGUAGUCCACGCCGUAAACGAUGAGUGCUAGGUGUU